AUCGAUGAAGAACGCAGCGAAAUGCGAUAAGUAAUGUGAAUUGCAGAAUUCAGUGAAUCAUCGAAUCUUUGAACGCACCUUGCGCUCCUUGGUAUUCCGAGGAGCAUGCCUGUUUGAGUGUCAUUAAAUUCUCAACCCUUUCAGCUUUUGCGAGUUGGAUUGGCUUGGAUGUGGAGGUUUGCGGGCUUCUCAGAAGUCGGCUCCUCUUAAAUGCAUUAGCGGAACCUUUGUGGACCAGCUUUGGUGUGAUAAUUAUCUACGCCAUGGCCGUGAAGCAGCUUUACAUGGGGUUCAGCUUCUAACCGUCCAUUGACUUGGACAAUUUCUGACAUUUUGACCUCAAAUCAGGUAGGACUACCCGCUGAACUUAAGCAUAUCAAUAAGCGGAGGAAAAGAAACUAACAAGGAUUCCCCUAGUAACUGCGAGUGAAGCGGGAAAAGCUCAAAUUUAAAAUCUGGCGGUCCUUGUGGCUGUCCGAGUUGUAAUCUAGAGAAGUGCUAUCCGCGCUGGACCGUGUACAAGUCUCCUGGAACGGAGCGUCAUAGAGGGUGAGAAUCCCGUCUUUGACACGGACUACCAGGGCUUUGUGAUGUGCUCUCAAAGAGUCGAGUUGUUUGGGAAUGCAGCUCUAAAUGGGUGGUAAAUUCCAUCUAAAGCUAAAUAUUGGCGAGAGACCGAUAGCGAACAAGUACCGUGAGGGAAAGAUGAAAAGAACUUUGGAAAGAGAGUUAAACAGUACGUGAAAUUGUUGAAAGGGAAACGCUUGAAGUCAGUCGCGUUGGCCGGGGAUCAACCUUGCUCUUUUGCUUGGCGUACUUUCCGGUUGACGGGUCAGCAUCAAUUUUGACCGGUGGAUAAAGGUCAGGGGAAUGUGGCAUCUUCGGAUGUGUUAUAGCCCUUGGUUGCAUACAUCGGUUGGGAUUGAGGAACUCAGCACGCCGCAAGGCCGGGUCUUUGACCACGUACGUGCUUAGGAUGCUGGCAUAAUGGCUUUAAUCGACCCGUCUUGAAACACGG
Molecule: ribosomal RNA, 1018 nt
Filed under: uncultured fungus
Lineage: Eukaryota; Fungi
Description: eukaryotic LSU rRNA
Rfam family: Eukaryotic large subunit ribosomal RNA (bases 335-1018)
Source: RNAcentral